This 465-nucleotide ribosomal RNA is filed under the name uncultured bacterium. RNAcentral describes it as "partial 16S ribosomal RNA". It matches the Rfam family "Bacterial small subunit ribosomal RNA", at positions 339 to 795 of the family's 1533-position model. The record is from RNAcentral.
CUACGGGCGGCAGCAGUGGGGAAUAUUGGACAAUGGGGGAAACCCUGAUCCAGCAACGCCGCGUGUGUGAAGAAGGCCUGCGGGUUGUAAAGCACUUUCGGUUGGGAGGACUGCUUCUAGCACUAAUAUUGUUGGAAGUUGACGUUACCUUCAGAAGAAGCACCGGCUAACUCCGUGCCAGCAGCCGCGGUAAUACGGAGGGUGCAAGCGUGAAUCGGAAUUACUGGGCGUAUAGCGCGCGUAGGCGGCUAGAUCAGUCGGGUGUGAAAGCCCCGGGCUUAACCUGGGAACUGCAUCCGAUACUGUCUAGCUUGAGUACAGGAGAGGAGAGUGGAAUUCCACAUGUAGCGGUGAAAUGCGUAGAUAUGUGGAGGAACACCAAUGGCGAAGGCAGCUCUCUGGCCUGAUACUGACGCUGAGGUGCGAAAGCGUGGGGAGCAAACAGGAUUAGAUACCCGUGUAGUC